RNAcentral lists this long non-coding RNA (1073 nucleotides) under Nicotiana benthamiana. RNAcentral describes it as "long non-coding RNA (NBEN_LNC011898)". The record is from RNAcentral. Lineage: Eukaryota; Viridiplantae; Streptophyta; Magnoliopsida; Solanales; Solanaceae.
UUUGUUUUUAUUUUUAGAAUAUGUUAGUUUAAUAAUUCUUUCAUCUUGAUUGCAAUAUUGUUAGAUUUAAUUUGAAAUUUAAUUGAUUAUUGAGCUUAGUGAAUUGAAUCCGUGUUUUUUUAUUCUGUUAAGUCUAAAUUUAGAUAUGAGUUAGAGAUUUGAAUUUAUUUGUUUGAUAUGUUAAGUUUAAUUUGAAUUUACUCGUUUGUUAUUGUUGUUGGAUCUGAAAGUGUGUUUUUUGUUAAAAUAUUGUUGGUUCUUUGUUGUUCAUCAUAUAAUUUGAAUUGUUGUUUGAAUUUGAUUAAGAAUUGAUUAUAGUUGUUAUAUUUUGGUUAAUUGGUUUAGGUGAAUUGGUUAUAGCUGAUAGAGGUAGAGUAGUAAUUUUUAGUAGUUUCAGGGGUAAUAUGGGAAUUGAAGAUAUAAGGAAUUGCUUAAUAAUAUGGUGGGAGACAAGACAAAAGGUAGUGGACAAGACAUAGUUAUUAAAGUAAAAGGGUGGGGACUGUAGGGUUCAUAUUUGACUACUUUUUGCUUUAAUAAUAAAAGCUGGAAAGUAAAAGUAAAAGGAAGGGGAAAUAAUAAAAGGGGUAGGGAUAAUAAUUAAAGGGUAGAAGAAAGCCUCUUGCAUUUGGGGUAUAUAAUAGCAGUCACUUAACACAUAGGGAGAGGACUGGAAUUUAGAGAGAAAAUAUUUCAGUACUAGAGGGAAGAAAGAAAAAGACUUCUAAGAAUUUUUGAGUGUUUGAAAGUUAGAAAUUAAAGAAAAAAUAUGUUCUUCUUCACUGUUAACAAUUAGCAUCAACUGAUAUUGUUCAUUAAAGUUUCAAGCUUCUUUUUUACGAGUGUUAAAAAUCAGAAGUUAUUUUUUGGCAACUGGUUUUCUUGCUUGGUUGCAAUCUCCUUGGUUUUCUGCUAUUCCCGCUGUCACUGGGCUACUCUUGCGUUGUUGAACUGUUGUUGCUGUGUGUAUGCUGCUAUUGCUUCCUACUGACCUUCCUCUUCUUUGUAUUCCAAUACGAGGUACACCACUUUGAAUCAUUUUGAUGUACGCCUUGAAGAUGAAUCGAAAUGGC